AGCGAACGCUGGCGGCAGGCCUAACACAUGCAAGUCGAACGGACCCUUCGGGCUUAUUGGCGGUCGUGUGGGUAACACGGGGUAACUUGCCUUUAGGUUCGGUAUACCUCCUGGAAACGUGUGUUAAUGCCGAAUGUGCCCUUCGCGGGAAAGAGUUUUGGCCUUUAGAGCGGCCCGCGUCAGAUUAGCUGGUUGGUGAGGUAACGGCACAGCAACGCGACGAUCAGUAGCUGGUCUGAGAGGAUGACCAGUCACACUGGGACUGCGACACGGACCAGACUGCUACGGGAGGCAGGAGUGGGGUGUAUUGCGCAAUGGGGGAAAGCGUGACGAAGCCAUGCCGGGUGAAUGAUGAAGGUCUUAGGAUUGUAAAUUUCUUUGACCGGGGACGAUAAUGACGGUACCGGGAGAAGAAGCACCGGCUAACUUCGUG
This 433-nucleotide ribosomal RNA is filed under the name uncultured bacterium. Its description in RNAcentral is "partial 16S ribosomal RNA". It matches the Rfam family "Bacterial small subunit ribosomal RNA", at positions 29 to 507 of the family's 1533-position model. The record is from RNAcentral.